AUAUACAGAGAUAAAAACACAGUCCCGGUUGAUAGUCCGGGCAUAGCAUUUAUUGCUAUCAGUAACCUGCCUCCUUGGUUGUCCUUUCUUUGUUUAUAAUUA
RNAcentral lists this non-coding RNA (102 nucleotides) under Clostridium taeniosporum. RNAcentral's name for it is "Azaaromatic sequence". It matches the Rfam family "azaaromatic riboswitch aptamer (yjdF RNA)". Lineage: Bacteria; Bacillati; Bacillota; Clostridia; Eubacteriales; Clostridiaceae. The record is from Rfam by way of RNAcentral.